RNAcentral lists this long non-coding RNA (214 nucleotides) under Elaeis guineensis (African oil palm). RNAcentral describes it as "long non-coding RNA (EGUI_LNC058448)". The record is from RNAcentral. Lineage: Eukaryota; Viridiplantae; Streptophyta; Magnoliopsida; Arecales; Arecaceae.
CUGUAUAUGUAUCCGACCUCUAGGAGUCAUCCACAUGAGCCCACGAAUCACGAUCAGAAGUCCUAGUCCAAGAAAUCAGCACAGUAUGCUAGUACUGUGCUGAUCUUUCUUCGAUGGUCGAUCAGAUGCCUCCUUCUUCUUGAUUUAGAUUCUUCCAAAGAUGAGAAGUAGGAGAAGAAGUUUUAUAUUUGAGACACUCUCAGAAAACUCACAG